AUUAACGCUGGCGGCGUGCAUAACACAUGCAAGUCGAACGAUGAAACUUAAAUGAUUUCUUCGGAAUGAACUUAAGUGGAUUAGUGGCGGACGGGUGAGUAACGCGUGAGUAACCUGCCUUACACAAGGGGAUAGCCGUUGGAAACGACGAAUAAUACCCUAUGAAACUAUCACUUCGCAUGAAGCGAUAGUCAAAGUGUUAGCGGUGUAAGAUGGACUUGCGUCUGAUUAGCUAGUUGGUGAGAAAAAAGCCCACCAAGGCAACGAUCAGUAGCCGGCUUGAGAGAGUGUACGGCCACAUUGGGACUGAGACACGGCCCAGACUCCUACGGGAGGCAGCAGUGGGGAAUUUUGCACAAUGGGGGAAACCCUGAUGCAGCGACGCCGCGUGAUUUAGAAGGCCUUCGGGUUGUAAAAAUCUUUUGUAUAGGAAGAAAAUGACAGUACUAUACGAAUAAGGUCCGGCUAAUUACGUG
This 476-nucleotide ribosomal RNA is filed under the name uncultured bacterium. RNAcentral's name for it is "partial 16S ribosomal RNA". It matches the Rfam family "Bacterial small subunit ribosomal RNA", at positions 29 to 507 of the family's 1533-position model. The record is from RNAcentral.